Long non-coding RNA from Peromyscus californicus insignis, 5087 nucleotides. RefSeq lists it as uncharacterized. Lineage: Eukaryota; Metazoa; Chordata; Mammalia; Rodentia; Cricetidae. The record is from RefSeq and is a predicted model, not a curated record. The transcript has 2 exons.
CGAUCAAAUUCUGGUUUGCCAAGUGCACAGUCAGCUUUGCAAACAGCCUUGGGGAAAUGACUGCACAUUGUGGUGAAGUAGUUCUAAAGUCCAGCGUGCUUCCUUGGAAACAAGCUGCAGGCAACCCCCCUCUGGAAUGGACUGAGGAACAUGAACAGGCCGUGUAAGAACUUAAAAGAGAUCCUGGUACAAGACCCUGCAUUAACUCUCCCUGGUAUCUCCAAGCCCUUUCAUCUUUAUGUCCAUGAAAAAAAGGACAUUGCCAAGGGAGUCCUGACUCAGACCCCGAGUCCCUGGAAAAGGCCCAUAGCUUACAUCUCAAAGAGACUGAAUCCUGUAGCCUCUGGGUGGCCCCCGUGUUUAAAAGCUAUCAUAGUCACUGAAAUUCUUGUAGAAGAAGCUGAUAAACUCAUGUUGGGACAGAUCCUAACUGUAACAGCUCCACACGCUGUGGAAGCUCUGCUGAGAGAUGCCACCAACUGGUGGAUGUCUAAUGCCCAUCUGACCCAGUACCAAUCCCUUCUUUUAGAUAAGAACAGACCGACUUUUGAUAAAUCACUGGCCAUUAAUCCCUGCUGCCAGUUGAUGACCCUGAGGAGUACAUCCAUGAAUGCCUAGAGAUGCUGGACAUCAUCCAAAUAUGUGACCUGACCUGAUAGACAUUCCUCUCACUACCAGAGAUAUGGAGGUCUCUAUAUGGAUGGCAGCAGCUUCAUUCAAGAAGGAACCACAUAUGUGGGGGUGGCAGUAGUCAUAGUCCAGAAGGAGGUCAUUUGGGCACAAGCCUUGCUGAGGGGCACAUCUGCCCAGAGAGCAGAAAUAAUUGCUCUGACACAGGCUUUAAGAUGGGCUGGAGGAAAAAAGGUAAACAUCUACACAGACAGCUGAUAUGCUUUUUCCAUGGCUCAUGUUCAUGGACAGAUAUAUAAACAGAGGGGGCUUACUUAUCUCAGAGGGAAAGACUAUCAAAAAUAAAAAUGAAAUUGUCUAAUUGCUGGAGGCCAUCUGUCUACCAACUGAACUAGCCAUAAUUCAUUGGACAGGAUAUCAAAAAGACAAAAAUCCCCAAACUCAAGAUAACAGCCAUGCAGAUCAAGUUGCCAAAAGAGGAUGCUCUUGGGGAACCCAAACCCUAGACUGUCCUGGAACUAUCUGCGGUCCCAGAGCCCCUACUCUGCUAUAAUGAAGAUAUUCCUGAGUACAAUCCAGAAGAGAUUAAGUCACAUUCUGACUUGGGGGCUCAGGAGAGCUGCAAUGAAUGAUGGAUCUUGCCUGAUGGAAGAAUGUGCAUGCCAAAGGUACUGGGCCAACUGUCUUGCAUCAUGCCAUGAACUUGUCACCUGAAGAUCUCAGAACUCAUCUCCCCCUCCAUGUCUGGCCACCUGGAUACUGAAAGAAACUUCAGAGCAGAGCAUUUCAGACCACUGCCUGACCUGUGCCCAGGUAAAUGCAAAGAAGGACAUACUUCCCACAGGUCAAUGGAGUCAAGGUAGAGUAGUACCCAGUGAAUUUUGGGAAUUGGACUUCACUGAAGUCAAGCCAGAAUUGUAAAGGCUACAAAUAUCUGCUGGUCAUUGUUGAUACUGUCACAGACUGGGUAGAGGCCUUUCCAUCCAGAAUAGAAACUGUAGAGAGCCGUGCACAGCCGCGCCUCAAAGAUGGCGCCGGUGUCCGGCUUCCGCCUUCCCGAUGGCAGGUGUUCUCUGGGAUAAACAGCUCCUUAUUUGGCUUGGGCGUGGAAUCUGGCUUGCUUGCGUAUGUCUGACCCUAUCGGCAUUGUCCACGUGGCACUACGGGGUUGGUUGCCCAGUGGCUAUAAAGGGCGUGGGCUGGCUUUCCCCGGAGUGAGAAGAUGGCUUUCCCCGGGGUCAGAAGAUUGUUCAAGGUUUCUGAAUAAACUGCUUGGAGAAGAGCCUGGUGUUGUGUCUUCCUUGCUGGUCGAGGUGGACUCGACAAGAAACAGCCCAAGUGAUAGCUAAGAAAUUCAUAAUGGAAAUUAUUCCCAGAUUUGGCCUCCACAUAUCUCUGGGAUCUGACAACAGCCUGGCCUUCACAGUUGAGUUAUCUUAAUUGCUCUCUAAAACUCUUAACAUAAAUUGGAAACUUCAUUGUAUGUAUCACCCUCAGAGUUCAGGAAAAGUAGAGAGAACGAAUGGAAAUUUAAAGGAGAUUUUAACUAAAUAUACUCUUGAAACUGGUAGUAAAUGGGUUGACCUCUUGCCUUAUGCCCUUCUCAGAGUCUGAUGUAUCCCCUAUCAAGAAAAGUUCAACCCAUAUGAAAUAGUCUAUGGGUGACCACCACCCAUGAUCUCUUGGCUACAUGCCGGACUAUUAUCAGAUUGCCUCACUCCAAUCUCUGAGUCCUUAAAAGGAAUGAAAUUAACUUUGGAUAAGAUUCUCCCUCAGGUUCCGGCUGCUCAACCUGCUGGGUACCACCCACCUGAUCACCCACUCCAGCCCAUGCUGUAUUAGUCCACCACUUCAAAACUGACCAGCUUGAGUCUAGAUGGAAAGGAUUCCUUACAUCACGAUUCUCUGGACUCCUACUGCUAUUAAAGUCACUAGUAUUUCUGCCUGGAUUCAUCACUCACACUUCAAGAAGGCACCCGAGGAACUCACAGAAGAGGAGCCCAACCCCCAGAGGUGGACAAUGACUGAAAAAGAACUGGUAAAAAUCAAACUUUUUAAGGUUUGACUGCCUAGUAUAACUUUGUGUUCUUCCUGUUGAAAUUUGCAUCACGAUUGCCCAAUGACUAACAGUUUUGUUGUUUUAUUUUCAACCUUUACAGACAGAACCUAAGUGCAUCUUGACAGGGGGAAAUAAGAGGCACUCUAUCAUAGGAAACACUCUGAUGUUGUCUUGCCAUGCAAAAGAGUGCUUUUAUCCCCCAGGUCCCAUAGUUUGGACAAAAGAAGGGGAACAGUCUUUAGCCAGAUGGAUAGAGGAUACCUGGGAUGGACUAAUCUAACUGGCCAAUCCCAGUGUAAUAACACAGACUUAGAAUAAUCAAAUAUUCUUUAAAGGGUUCUGAUAAUGGAAAUUACAGGUAUGCUAAAGUAAGAAGGGGAAGGGAGGAUUCGCUAAUCACUUCAAUUGAAUUUAACAUGCCCAGAGUAACCCAGUCUGUAACUAAUAAUGUGGAAUACAAUCUCUGGGUCCAUCUAGCACUAAAAAGCCAACAAGAAAACUCCUUCUGUAUCAGAGGAGAUCCCUCUAUUCCCUGGCUCUUAAAAAGAAAUUUGUAUGGAAUAGAGGUUUCUUCUGAAAAUUAUACAAUGAUAACAGAGGACAAACUGGAACAUGCCCCCUCUAAUGAUUUAAAAGCUGUGACUGAUGUUCCUGUUGAUAAUGUCUCUUUCCUCCUCUGUCUAUGUUUUGAUUGCACACAUGUCCCUUCUUAUUGUAAUUCCACUUCUCAUCACAUCCUCACACCCCCACACACCCCCACACCCCUGUAAGCAAUUGCCCUUAGGAUUUUUCUGUGAAAAUAAUUCUUAUUCUGCACUCCCAGGAGGAUAUAAGGGUUUUUGUGAGAUUGGCUAUGUUCUACCUAUUUUACUCAGCAAAUCUUUACAAUCUGUUAAUAGAACUACAAGAGCUCUUCCUGAAAAGUGUGAUGAUUCCUCACAUCUAUUAGAUCCCACUACAGUUGCUGCUACCCCAGCCUUUCUGUUACCUGUCCCAGGACAUGUUGUUGGACCACAAAGAGAGGUUUCUAAAACAGCCUGUCUAAUUUCAAAAACUACUAAUAUUACAGUAGAAAUAUUAGCAGAAAUGAAUCAAGAAAUGGGAGAACUGAGAAUAACUGUUCUUCAAAAUAGAGCUACUACAGGUUACCUAUUACUUAAACAUAAUCCUGGUUGUCAACAAUUUACUGGAAUGUGCUGUUUCAAUAUCUCUGAUUCUCUCAUACUAUUGACAACCAAAUUGAUGAUCUACAUAAAGAAAUAGGCAGAAUCUCUCAAACAAAUUGAGACUGGCCAAUAUGGCUAAGAUGUUUCUCCCCCUUCAUUGGCCACCUAAUACUAUUUCUACUAAUUACCAUAAUCAGGCCCUGUGCCCUCUAGUGCGUCACUAACUUGAUCACCCACCACAUACACAAUUCUAGAAUCAUUGCUGCUCGAUGAUAUUAUUAAGACAUCCCCCUAUCAAAGAUUUGACAGGGAAACACAAGUCAAGGGGGGAAUGAGGAACCUGCCUGACUCCAUUAUAAUGUAUUGUUAAAAGUAAGUUUCUAUUUACUGAGUUGAACCUGACCCUCCCCAACUCAUGACUUCGACUUGUUUUUGAGAAUACCCUUACACUCCAUGACCUUCCCUGAACCCUUCCUAAUCACAUGGUGACCACAUGAUUUUUUUGAAAAUUUUUCUAUAUUUCCUUACUGCCCCAUUGUCUCUCUUCUGUAAAACUACUCGUGGUUUUACUCCUUAAAAGGGGCCCCAGAAAUGGAUUCACUGCUGCUCUCUUUAGCCCGACUUAGGAGGCAGUCUCUAACCAGCUCUUGAGUGUACCCCAACAAAAAAAUCAAGCUUACUUCAAAUUUGGCUCAAAUUGUGAUAGUGGUCUUAUUCUCACCUUUGGGAUUGACACUAUACCUUAAGGUCUUAUCCAAACUCAAAAGGUCCCUGCAUUCAGAACCCUCUUGUUUGUAAGUCACCCUCAUUUGAACACACUCUGGAGGGAAGCCUCCUUUCUGCAGCAGAAUCCUCCAUGAACAUCAAAAUCACUGUGUUGGCUAGUUUUAUGUUAACCUGACACAAGCUAAAGUCAUCUGAGAGGAGGGAGCCUCAAUUGAGAAAAUGUCUCCAUAAUAUCCAGCUGUAAGACAUUUUCUUAAUGAGUGAUUGAUGGGGAAGGGCCCAGCCCAUGGUGGGUGAUUCUAUCCCUGGGCUAGUGGUCCUGGGUUCUAUAAGAAAGCAGGAUGAGCAAGCCAUGAGGAGCAAGCCAGUAAGCAGCACUCCUCUAUGACUUCUGCAUCAGGUCCUGCCUCCAGGCUCUUGCCCUGUUCGAGUUCCUGUCUUGAAUUCCUCUGAAGAUGAACAAUGAUAUGGAAGUGUAAGUCAAAUAAAUCUUUUCAUUCAUUCAA